UACGUAGGGUGCGAGCGUUGUCCGGAAUUAUUGGGCGUAAAGAGCUCGUAGGCGGCUUGUCGCGUCGGAUGUGAAAGCCCGGGGCUCAACCCCGGGAGGCGGGCGGAUACUGUCGGGCUAGAGUCCGGAAGAGGCGAGUGGAAUUCCUGGUGUAGCGGUGAAAUGCGCAGAUAUCAGGAGGAACACCGAUGGCGAAGGCAGCUCGCUGGGACGGUACUGACGCUGAGGCGCGAAAGCGUGGGGAGCAAACAGG
Molecule: ribosomal RNA, 253 nt
Filed under: uncultured bacterium
Lineage: Bacteria
Description: partial 16S ribosomal RNA
Rfam family: Bacterial small subunit ribosomal RNA
Source: RNAcentral